UUUAUUUACAAUUAUAUAUUGACGUAAAUUCUGCGACUUGCUAGCAAAAUGAGAACUAAAUCCCAAGAUUGUAAUCUCCGUGUGUCUCUCUUGUUGGUUAGAGAAGGAAAGACUUGAAAUUACAACUUGUAUGCUGGAGAGAGGUGUGACUGAAAAUUAGUCUAUGCCUCAGCAGUGCAAUUGGAAUCUUCAUUGCCGAGCAUGGAUCAACAAUGUACAUCUACGCAAACGCACAGAUUAUU
RNAcentral lists this unclassified non-coding RNA (242 nucleotides) under Hevea brasiliensis (rubber tree). The record is from RNAcentral. Lineage: Eukaryota; Viridiplantae; Streptophyta; Magnoliopsida; Malpighiales; Euphorbiaceae.